GACGAACGNGGGNGNNNNNCUUAACACAUGCAAGUCGAACGCUGAAGCUCAGCUUUUGUUGGGUGGAUGAGUGGCGAACGGGUGAGUAACACGUGAGUAACCUGCCCCCUUCUUUGGGAUAACGCCCGGAAACGGGUGCUAAUACUGGAUAUUCACUGGUCUUCGCAUGGGGGUUGGUGGAAAGGGUUUUUCUGGUGGGGGAUGGGCUCGCGGCCUAUCAGCUUGUUGGUGGGGUGAUGGCCUACCAAGGCUUUGACGGGUAGCCGGCCUGAGAGGGUGACCGGUCACAUUGGGACUGAGAUACGGCCCAGACUCCUACGGGAGGCAGCAGUGGGGAAUAUUGCACAAUGGGCGCAAGCCUGAUGCAGCGACGCCGCGUGAGGGAUGGAGGCCUUCGGGUUGUGAACCUCUUUCGCUCAUGGUCAAGCCGCAACAAUGGUUGUGGUGAGGGUAGUGGGUAAAGAAGCGCCGGCUAACUACGUGCCAGCAGCCGCGGUAAUACGUAGGGCGCGAGCGUUGUCCGGAAUUAUUGGGCGUAAAGGGCUUGUAGGCGGUUGGUCGCGUCUGCCGUGAAAUCCUCUGGCUUAACUGGGGGCGUGCGGUGGGUACGGGCUGACUUGAGUGCGGUAGGGGAGACUGGAACUCCUGGUGUAGCGGUGGAAUGCGCAGAUAUCAGGAAGAACACCGGUGGCGAAGGCGGGUCUCUGGGCCGUUACUGACGCUGAGGAGCGAAAGCGUGGGGAGCGAACAGG
RNAcentral lists this ribosomal RNA (752 nucleotides) under uncultured Actinomyces sp. Its description in RNAcentral is "bacterial SSU rRNA". It matches the Rfam family "Bacterial small subunit ribosomal RNA", at positions 28 to 776 of the family's 1533-position model. The record is from RNAcentral. Lineage: Bacteria; Bacillati; Actinomycetota; Actinomycetes; Actinomycetales; Actinomycetaceae.